AUAUGUGAGGACAAUUUGGCUGUGACAUCUGUCACCCCACUGAUCACCAGGGUUGAUUCGGCUGAUCUGGCUGGCUAGGCCGGUGUCCCCUUCCUCCCUCACCAAUCCAUGUGUGUCCCUCCCGAAGCUGUGCACUUGGUUGAAGAGGACAGCCUUCCCCGAAUAGAGUCGGACCAGUCUUCAGUCGAGGGUAUAUGAGUAACUGUGCUCCCCUGCUAGAACCUCCAAACAAGCUCUCAAGAAGGAUAAAAUUCCAUACAAUUCCCACUACCAUAGGGCUGUAU
Molecule: unclassified non-coding RNA, 284 nt
Organism: Erinaceus europaeus (western European hedgehog)
Lineage: Eukaryota; Metazoa; Chordata; Mammalia; Eulipotyphla; Erinaceidae
Gene: 7SK
Rfam family: 7SK RNA
About the family: 7SK was discovered as an abundant small nuclear RNA in the mid-70s but a possible function has only recently been suggested. Two independent studies have found that 7SK RNA binds the CDK9/cyclin T complex (known as elongation factor P-TEFb). P-TEFb activates transcription by phosphorylating the C-terminal domain of RNA polymerase II.
Source: Ensembl